GAGAGCUUGCUCUCUGAUUCAGCGGCGGACGGGUGAGUAAUGCCUAGGAAUCUGCCUGGUAGUGGGGGACAACGUCUCGAAAGGGACGCUAAUACCGCAUACGUCCUACGGGAGAAAGCAGGGGACCUUCGGGCCUUGCGCUAUCAGAUGAGCCUAGGUCGGAUUAGCUAGUUGGUGAGGUAAUGGCUCACCAAGGCGACGAUCCGUAACUGGUCUGAGAGGAUGAUCAGUCACACUGGAACUGAGACACGGUCCAGACUCCUACGGGAGGCAGCAGUGGGGAAUAUUGGACAAUGGGCGAAAGCCUGAUCCAGCCAUGCCGCGUGUGUGAAGAAGGUCUUCGGAUUGUAAAGCACUUUAAGUUGGGAGGAAGGGCAGUAAAUUAAUACUUUGCUGUUUUGACGUUACCGACAGAAUAAGCACCGGCUAACUCUGUGCCAGCAGCCGCGGUAAUACAGAGGGUGCAAGCGUUAAUCGGAAUUACUGGGCGUAAAGCGCGCGUAGGUGGUUUGUUAAGUUGGAUGUGAAAUCCCCGGGCUCAACCUGGGAACUGCAUUCAAAACUGACAAGCUAGAGUAUGGUAGAGGGUGGUGGAAUUUCCUGUGUAGCGGUGAAAUGCGUAGAUAUAGGAAGGAACACCAGUGGCGAAGGCGACCACCUGGACUGAUACUGACACUGA
Molecule: ribosomal RNA, 679 nt
Filed under: Pseudomonas sp. MNR-2
Lineage: Bacteria; Pseudomonadati; Pseudomonadota; Gammaproteobacteria; Pseudomonadales; Pseudomonadaceae
Description: bacterial SSU rRNA
Rfam family: Bacterial small subunit ribosomal RNA
Source: RNAcentral